This is a non-coding RNA of Phoenix dactylifera (date palm), 1058 nucleotides long. The record is from RefSeq and is a predicted model, not a curated record. Lineage: Eukaryota; Viridiplantae; Streptophyta; Magnoliopsida; Arecales; Arecaceae.
AGGAAUGAUGUUGACGGCGAUGCAAAUAUCAUAACAGCAGUCACAGGUUCAGAGGCUUGCUACAGGAAUUCCGACCCAAUAUCCGGAAUGAGAAACUACACCAAGGUGGAAUAGGGGCAUACGGCUUUGCUUAUGUGGGUUGUGCCAAUAUGUCAACUUAUUCGGAGUAGCCAUUGGCUACACCAUCAUAGCAUCCAUAAGUGCUGCGUAAGCUCAUGGUACUCUUGUGCAAGGACAAAGCAUUCAGUGAUCUACUAAACCUUCCCAAAUUCCAGAGAAUGUAGUUGUCAGGGACCUUGACGAGUUCUUAGAACAUGUUUCCUGAUGCAUGGACGCAGGGCGGUGAGCAAGUCCAAUUGUUUCCACAAGAGGGGCCGUUAUGCUGAUUUCGGUGUCUCCGCCAGUCUCUACAUGGUCGUGUUUGGGAUCGUUCAGAUAUUAUUCACAACUGCCCAACUUUUUCAUAAGCUGCGGUGGCUGUUCAUCAUCGCUGCAGUCGUGUCCCUUGGCUUACUCCCUCAUCGCAGUGGUUCUCUCAGCAGCCAGAGUAAUUUCAGCACAAACAAGUUGCUCGAUAAUCUGAAUCAAACCUGUGUCCUCAACAAGUGAUGCUGGAAAAGCCUUGCUGCAGGAACAGAAGUUGGCGUGGAUGUUGAUUCAGCUCAGAAAGCUCGAAACGCAUUAAAACCGCUUGGAGAUAUUGCCUGUUCCCAUUCAUAUUCCGUGAUUCUAUAAUAGAAAUCCAGGUAGGGCAACUGCUGGCCUGCAGAAAAACACCCCGUGUCUCUUUCAGAAAACUAUUCAUGACCCAGAUAGCUAUAAUCAAGUGAUCGACUCCCCUGGCCUGCACAAAAACACCCCGCGUCUCUUUCAGAAAACUAUUCAUGACCCGGAUAACUAUCAUCCCUAUGGAUCUUUUAGGACACUGUGAGAUCCCCCCAGCAGAGAACAACGUGAUGAUGACGAAGGCAAGCCUGAUUGGUGUGUCGACGGCCGCAGCAUUCUACAUCCUUUUUGGCUGCCUUGGUUAUGCUGCGUUUGGGAACCAAGCUCCAGGG